RNAcentral lists this unclassified non-coding RNA (246 nucleotides) under plant metagenome. RNAcentral describes it as "partial contains small subunit ribosomal RNA, internal transcribed spacer 1, and 5.8S ribosomal RNA". The stretch from base 1 to 54 matches the Rfam family "Eukaryotic small subunit ribosomal RNA", at positions 1778 to 1831 of the family's 1831-position model. The record is from RNAcentral.
GGAAGUAAAAGUUGUAACAAGGUCUCCGUUGGUGAACCAGCGGAGGGAUCAUUACAGGACUCGCAAGACUCCUUCACCCUGUGAACCUCACUACAAGCACGUUGCUUCGGCGGGUGUCCCGGCGGGGGUUUUCCCUCGCCGGGGCGCACAGCCCGCCGCCAGCCUACUAUACUCUGUCUCUUUGCGUUGGCAUCUCGAGAAAAAACAAACAAGUUAAAACUUUCAACAACGGAUCUCUUGGUUCUG